CUGGCCAAGGAAUGGUGUGGGAAGUAGAGUUAUCUCCCAGAUUUCUUUUUUUUUCUUUUAAUUUUGUAAAUGUUUAUUUUUGAGAGAGAGACAGAGUGCGAGUGGGGGAGGGGCAGAGGGAGAGGGAGACACAGAAUCUGAAGCAGGCUUCAGGCUCUGAGGUGUCAGCACAGAGCCGGACUCGGGGCUCGAAUUCAAGAACUGCAGGAUAGGACCUGAGCCAAAGUCAGAAGCUUACCGACGGAGCCACCCAGGUGCCGCUGUCCCAGAUUUCUCAUCUGGCUUUGGACCCCGCACUCCCCCAAGCUCAGGACAUCCUAAAAGUGUCCUCUCUGGAACACCCAGGUGGGCAAAUGAUGAGAGAACCCUGGUGUCCCUGCAACACUGCUUGGCCUCUUCUAGAACCUUCAAGAGCCCAGAAUACAAGUUCCACUGUGAUCCGUUAAUGCAGGAAAGAAUUGUGUGGUUUGUUUAAGGAGAAGCAAACCCUCAGUGGAAACACACAUCUGCUGGGAUUUUGGAGAGAUUUUCUCUCAUCAACCUAGCAAGUCAGCAGUGGAAAACGCGUCUGUCCGUAGGUGGCAGAACCCAGACCUGGUCAUCGCACGGCCUGCAACCGCCCCGGCCUUCAGCCUCUGGACCUGCCCCCUCCCUCCGCCACCGGACCUCCGAGGAAACGUGGUCUCCACACACAACGGAGUAUAAUUCAGCCAUAAAAAGGAGGCAAGCCCUUCCGCAGGCGACAAUGUGGAUGAACCUGGAGGACAUUGUACUAAGUGACAUAAGGCAGACACAGAAAGACAAAUACGGCCCGAUUCCACAUAACGGGAGGCACUCAAAAUGGUCGGACGCAUGCAAACAGGAGGUGGGACGCUGGUUGCCCCGGGCCGGCAGGGAAAGGAAAAUGGGGAGUCACCGUUUAAUGCAUCUCAAGUUUAGGUUAUGCGAGGUUAAUAAGUUCUAGACAUCUGUGCGCUGCUGUGCGUAUAGCCAACAGCACGGUACGUGCUCUGAAAAAUCUGUUACAGGGUAUAGAUUUCACAUGAAGGGCUCUUACCACAAUAAUUAAAAAAAAAAAAAAAGAGGGGCACCUGGGUGGCUCAGCCCGUCAGGCUUCCAACGUUUGAUUUCCGCUCAGGUCGUGAUCUCACGGUUUGGUAGUUCGAGCCCCAUGUCGGGCUCUGCGCUGACAGCGCGGAACCUGCUUGGGAUUCUCCCUCCCUCCCUCCCUCUCUCUCUGCCCCUCCCCUGCUGUCUCUCUCACGCGCGCUCUCUUUCUCUCCCAAAAUAAAUAAAUAAACAUCAAAAAGAAAAGCUAAAUC
RNAcentral lists this long non-coding RNA (1322 nucleotides) under Felis catus (domestic cat). RNAcentral's name for it is "lncRNA (ENSFCAG00000047740.1)". Lineage: Eukaryota; Metazoa; Chordata; Mammalia; Carnivora; Felidae. The record is from RNAcentral.